AAGGAAUAUUGCGCAAUGGGCGAAAGCCUGACGCAGCAACGCCGCGUGAGGGACGAAGGCCUUCGGGUCGUAAACCUCUUUUCUGGGGAAAGAGCAAGGACGGUACCUCAGGAAUAAGUCUCGGCUAACUACGUGCCAUCAGCCGCGGUAAAACGUAGGAGGCGAGCGUUAUCCGGAUUUACUGGGCGUAAAGCGCGCGCAGGCGGUUUCGUGAGUCGGACAUGAAAGCUCCUGGCUUAACUGGGAGAGGCUGUUCGAUACUGCGGGACUUGAGGUUGGGAGAGGGGUGUGGAAUUCCCGGUGUAGUGGUGGAAUGCGUAGAUAUCGGGAGGAACACCUGUGGCGAAAGCGGCACCCUGGCCCACACCUGACGCUGAGGUGCGAAAGCGUGGGGAGCAAAC
This 401-nucleotide ribosomal RNA is filed under the name uncultured bacterium. Its description in RNAcentral is "bacterial SSU rRNA". It matches the Rfam family "Bacterial small subunit ribosomal RNA", at positions 356 to 773 of the family's 1533-position model. The record is from RNAcentral.